Fukomys damarensis (Damara mole-rat) is the source of this 3364-nucleotide long non-coding RNA. RefSeq lists it as uncharacterized. Lineage: Eukaryota; Metazoa; Chordata; Mammalia; Rodentia; Bathyergidae. The transcript has 2 exons. The record is from RefSeq and is a predicted model, not a curated record.
UUAAACUCCUGUGGAAAACAGGCGUUUUAAACAUGUUGGAUCUGGAUAUCUGUCUUGGGAAUUGACAAUGAAGUAUUUCCCAGCCUGUUUCACAGCAGGCAAGCACAGUGCCUGAGGACCAGCACUAACCAUCUCUGAUCUCUUCAGCAGAUGUGAAGACAGAAAGCAAGAGAAGAAUUACUCCCUGUUUCGAAUCAUCCCCUAUUUGAUUUAUGUACACAGCUCUGCCUACCCAGAACCAGAUCCUUGCUGUCUAGCACUGGUUGAAAAGAUUCACUCUGGUUAUGAAGAGCAGUGCCUUUGCUGAGUUACCUACCUCAGGAUCUGAUCGGGACAUCAAUCCUAACAUACUUGCACCCAGAAGAUCGUCCUCUGAUGGUUGCCAUACACCAAAAGGGUAAGAUGUGCCCUUCUAUAGGAGCAAUUUGUGUUGCUUCUGAUUUGUUCUAAUUUGUCAGUUCAUUGCUCUCUAAAGCUUAAUCUUUAACCAGAUAAGUAAUGUAUUGAAGUUGCUGAACAAUUUUUCUUAACAUGCUAAAACAUUUAAAAAUAAAUAAUUAAAAAAUCACCGCUUGAAGGUAAGGCUGAGGAAUUACUGCAUGCAGACACUAAUAAAAAUCCAAGAAAUUAUGAACAAAACAUUCAAGAACUCAAACCAAACUUACACAUUUUUGGUGUAAAAGAGGACAUGGUAUGAAAGGCAUAGAAGAUCUGUUUAAUAAAAUAACAGAAAAAUUUCCAGAUCUUGAGACUGAUACAGGCAUCCAGAUACGUGAGGCACUUAGAACUCAAGACAGGCACAACCAGAAAAGAACCUCCCCACAUCGCAUUACAGUUAAAAUGACAAGAGUACAGAACAAGGACAGAAUCUUGAAAGCUACAAGAGAGAAAUGCCUGUUCACUCACAGAGGCAGACCCAUCACAAUAAUUCUAGACCUCUCUGCAAAAACUGUAAAGGUCAGAAGGGUGUGGAAUUUUCAAGCCCUGAGUGAAAUCAUCUGCCAACCUGGAUUACUAUAUCCAGCAAAGCUACACUUCAAAAUUGAAGGAGAAAUAAAGGCUUUCCAAGAUAAGGGUAAACUAAACAAAAAUUCAUGACCACCAAGCCCACUUUGUAGAAGAUACUUAAGUGAAUCCUGCACACAGAAGAGGAAGAGUAGAUAAGCUAUUGAAAAUUAGGAGGGAAUCAAACAUUAGAAAGGUUUUAUAUACCUUUCUGUAAUAGCGCUAAAUGUAAAUGGUCUCAAAUGCUCUAAUUAAAAGACAUACUGUCAGAUUGAAUUGAAUUAAAAACAAGACCCAAUUCUGUCUGAAAAAAAUACCUCAAGCAGAGACGUGCAGACUGAAAGUGAAAGGUAGCCAAGACCAAAAAAAAGCCACCAUAUAUUAGUAAAGGGAACAAUCCCCAAGAAGAUAAAACAAUUAUAGAUACAUAUAUACCAGACAUUUGUGCACCUGAUUUCAGAAAACAAGCAUCGCUUGACAUAAAUGGGUGACUUCAAUAGUCCUCUGUCACCAAUAGAUAGGUAGUCCAAACAAAUCGAUGAAGAAACAACAGAGUUAAGCUACACCAAUCCAGUGGACUGAACAGAUGUCUAUGGAAUACUCCAUCAAGCAACCACAGAAUGUACAUUCUUCUGAGCAGCUCAUGUUUGGAUGCCCUCAAAAAUAGAUCAUAUUCUUAGCCAUAAAGCAAACCUUAACAAAUAUAAAAAAUUGAAAUAAUUUCUUGCAUCUUAUUAGAUCAUAAUGUAAUGUAAAGAAACUAGAAAUCAAUAGCAAGAAUGACCACAGAAACUAUACAAGCACAUGGAGAUUUAAUAAUAAUAUACUUUUCAGAGUAGGUCAUUGAGGAAAUUUUAAAAUUUUGAGAAGAAAAUGGAAACAAAGAAAUCUGGGAUAGAGCAAAGGCAGUUCUAAGAGGAAAUUACAGCUCUAAGUGCCUACCUUAAAAAAUCAGAUGUCAAAUAAUGAAGCAUCUCAAAGUCUUACAAAAACAAGAACAAACCAAAAUCAACUCCAGUGAAAGGAAAAACUUACAGAGAGCUAAAAUGAGUGAGAUAGAGACUAAAAGAACAGUACAUAGGAUCAACAAAGCAAAAAGUUGGUUCUCUGAAAAGAAAACAAGAUUGUCAACCUAUAGCCAAACCAAAAGAAGACCCAAAUCAAUACAAUUAGAAAUGAGAAAAGGGAUGUUACGACAGAUGCUGUUGACACCACUGAAAUCCAGAGGAUCCUAACAAAUUGGAAAGCCUAGAAGAAAUGGAUACAUUUCUGGACACAUGACCUAAUAAAACUGAACCAAGGUGAUUUUUAAAAACCCAAACAUCCAUAGCAGGCAAUGAGUUUGAAGCAGUAAUAAAAAGUCUCCAAUAAAGAAAAGCCCAGGUCCACAUGGAAUCACUGCUGAGUUUUAUCAGACCUUUAAAAAAGAACCUCAGAGCUCCUCAAAGUAUUCCAUGAAAUGGAAAGGAAAGAAACAUGUCCAAACUCAACAUCACCUGGACACCAACAAUGGACAAGGACACAACAAAAAAAACUAUAGACCAGUAUCCAUGAUAACAUAGGUGUAAAAAUCCUUAAUAAAAUACUAGCAAACCGAAUUCAGCAACACAUUAAAAAAUAUCAUACACCAUGGUCAAGUUGGUUUCGUAACAGCGAUGCAAGGAUGACUCGGCAUCACUUUAUGAUUAAAGCCCUGAAGACUCUAGGUGAUCAAUGAAGGACCAUCUUUCAGUAUUUUAGAGGCCAUACAUAACUCACAGCUGCCAUCCUGAAUGGCAAGGAUGUCCUCCCUCAGCAUGUCUAUUCAAUAUAAUUCUUGAAGUGUUAGAUGGAGCAAUCAGGCAGGAGAAAUCAAGUUAUCCUUGUUUGCAGAUGAUAUGGUCCUAUUCUUUGAGGACUCUUAAAACCUUUCCAUAAGACAUUGAGAGCUGAGAGAAAAUUGAACAAACCAGCAGGGAAUAAAAAUCAGUAUUAAAAAUCAACAGCUUUUUCUAUACACCAGUUGGGAAAGAAAUCCAGAAAGCAAUUCUCUUCAAAGUAGCUCUGAGAGGGAGAAGGUAAAGGGGGAGGGAGAGGAAGCUACAACUGGGCAUCAACCUAACCAAGGAGAUGAAAGACCAACCAUGGAAAUUUUAGAAUACUGAAGAAAAAAUUGCAGACAGAAUACGGAAUGACCUCCCUUGUUCAUGGAUUAGCAGAAUUAACAUUGUUAAAAUGGCCACAUUGCCAAAAGUGACCUAUAGGUUCACCUUGAUCCCAUCCACACACCAGUGACAUUCUUCACAGAACUGGAAAAAAAUCUAAAAUGAGUUUCCAAAUACAAAGGAACCAAAACAGUUGAAGUAAUCUUAAGCAAAAA